Long non-coding RNA from Mesocricetus auratus (golden hamster), 426 nucleotides. RefSeq lists it as uncharacterized. The record is from RefSeq and is a predicted model, not a curated record. The transcript is spliced from 2 exons. NCBI's taxonomy places the organism in Eukaryota, Metazoa, Chordata, Mammalia, Rodentia, Cricetidae.
UCAGCUGAGACUUGAGCUCCACGAUUUCAGAUUCCCUAGAGGAAAAGCAGGCACAGUUACAAGCCCGCUCUGAAACACAACGGACAAUCGACCGCAGACCAAGGCCCGGGCUCUUCCACGGGAAACCCAGAAGGACAUAUACCUUCCAGACCGCCUGAAAUGAUCCGAGGAAUAAGGUGUUACUCUUUGCAGGAAAGGAUGGUGACAUACUGCAUGUCUGUGCACACCCCCCCCCCAAAAUUGGGAGGUAAUUACGACAUAAUGAGCACAGAGCCUCUGCCAUGGGAUUAAUCCCCUUAUCAAGGAUCCUAACUACCAGGAAGAUGCAGGAAAUGAAGAAUAAAUAUGACCUGAAUGCAUUAUAUGCAUGUAUUAAAAGUCACAAUGAAAACCUUAUUUCCUACCAUUAAAAUAUGCCAAAACAAA